RNAcentral lists this ribosomal RNA (347 nucleotides) under uncultured bacterium. RNAcentral describes it as "bacterial SSU rRNA". It matches the Rfam family "Bacterial small subunit ribosomal RNA", at positions 28 to 365 of the family's 1533-position model. The record is from RNAcentral.
GAUAAACGCUGGCGGCGCACAUAAGACAUGCAAGUCGAACGAGUAGAGAUAUUUCUUUUAGUUAUAUCAAAGCUAGUGGCGGACUGGUGAGUACAAUGUAAGCAACCUGCCUAUUAGAGGGGAACAACAGUUAGAAAUGACUGCUAAUACCGCAUAUGCCAUAAUGUUCACAUGAACAUAGUGGGAAAGGAGCAAUUCGCUAAUAGAUGGGCUUACACCUGAUUAGCUAGUUGGUAAGGUAACGGCUUACCAAGGCAACGAUCAGUAGCCGAACUGAGAGGUUAAACGGCCACAUUGGGACUGAGAUACGGCCCAGACUCCUACGGGAGGCAGCAGUCGGGAAUAUU